Molecule: long non-coding RNA, 333 nt
Filed under: Rosa chinensis
Lineage: Eukaryota; Viridiplantae; Streptophyta; Magnoliopsida; Rosales; Rosaceae
Description: sRNA RchiOBHm_Chr2g0123241
Source: RNAcentral
CUAAUCUUAACGAUUAUCAAAGUCUCUCCGGAGCAAACCUACAUGUAACCUAGUUGCAACCCAGCGAAGCUAAAGUCACACUUUAGCAAAACCCGUGCUUUCUCCAAACUUCCCAGUGCUUGCUCUGCUCAACCUACAACGUUGAGUAUCGAUUCGGUGACGCGAAGAGAUCACAACCAAAUCCCUUAUCCGUAAGGCAAGAAGUCCUUUUCCGAAAGGCAUAGAAAAGAACCUUGUGACGAGGUUGGUGCUCUCCUUGUCCACAGCGUUUGGUAAGAAGUCAGGUCAAGGGACUCCUCGACGACCGCACCCCACGGUGCUGGCACGCCCGCG